GAUGAACGCUGGCGGCGUGCCUAAUACAUGCAAGUCGAGCGAAUGGAUUAAGAGCUUGCUCUUAUGAAGUUAGCGGCGGACGGGUGAGUAACACGUGGGUAACCUGCCCAUAAGACUGGGAUAACUCCGGGAAACCGGGGCUAAUACCAGAUAACAUUUUGAACCGCAUGGUUCGAAAUUGAAAGGCGGCUUCGGCUGUCACUUAUGGAUGGACCCGCGUCGCAGUUAGCUAGUUGGUGAGGUAACGGCUCACCAAGGCAACGAUGCGUAGCCGACCUGGGAGGGUGGUCGGACACACUGGGACUGAGACACGGCCCAGACUCCUACGGGAGGCAGCAGUAGGGAAUCUUCCGCAAUGGACGAAAGUCUGACGGAGCAACGCCGCGUGAGUGAUGAAGGCUUUCGGGUCGUAAAACUCUGUUGUUAGGGAAGAACAAGUGCUAGUUGAAUAAGCUGGCACCUUGACGGUACCUAACCAGAAAGCCACGGCUAACUACGUGCCAGCCGCCGCGGUAA
This 516-nucleotide ribosomal RNA is filed under the name uncultured bacterium. Its description in RNAcentral is "partial 16S ribosomal RNA". It matches the Rfam family "Bacterial small subunit ribosomal RNA", at positions 28 to 523 of the family's 1533-position model. The record is from RNAcentral.